RNAcentral lists this long non-coding RNA (1301 nucleotides) under Cyanistes caeruleus (blue tit). RNAcentral's name for it is "lncRNA (ENSCCEG00000005614.1)". The record is from RNAcentral. Lineage: Eukaryota; Metazoa; Chordata; Aves; Passeriformes; Paridae.
CUGGAAUUCCCACUGGGAAUAGUGGAAAUGGGGGGGAAGGGCUGGAAUUCCCGCUGGGAAUGCAGGAAGGGAUUCCCAGGGCUGGAAUUUUGGGAAUGCCCAUGGAGAGCUCCCAGGGGCGGAAUUCCCGGGAUGGAUGGUGAUCCCCAUCCCCAUUCCCAUUUUUCCCAUUCCCAUUUUUCCCAAUCCCAUUUUCCAUUUCCCUCCCAUUUCCCCAUUCCCAUUUUUCCCACCCCCAUUCCCAUUUUUCCCACUCCCAUUUUUUCCAUUUUUCCCAUUAUCCCAUUUUUCCCACCUCCAUUCCCAUUUUUGCCAUCCCCAUUAUCCCAUUUUUCCCAUUUUCUUGGGGGUUUUUCCCUUUUUUUCCCCUUUUUUUUCCCCGUUUUUUUUUCCCAUUUUUUUCCCCACUUUUUUCCCCAUUUUUCCAUUUUUUUCCCCGUUUUCUUUUCCCAAUUUUUUUUCCCAUUUUUUCCCCUUUUUUCCCCCCCAUUUUUUUUCCUUUUUUCCCUUUUUUCUCCCUUUUUUUUCCCCCUUUUUUUUCCCACUUUUUUCCCAAUUUUUCUCAUUUUUUUCCCUGGUUUUUCCCCCUUUUUUCCCUUUUUUUCCCCCCAUUUUUUUCCCUUUUUCUCGUUUUUUCCUGGGUUUUUUUCCCUUUUUUUUCCCCACUUUUUUCCCCAUUUUCCCCAUUUUUUUUUCCGAGUUUUUUUCCCAUUUUUCCCCUUUUUUUUCCCCUUUUUUUCCCCGUUUUUUUCCUUUUUUUCCCCCCCAUUUUUUUUCCCUUUUUCCCUUUUUUCUCCCUUUUUUUUCCCCCGUUUUUUUUCCCACUUUUUUCCCAUUUUUUCCCAUUUUUUCCCCUGGUUUUUCCCCCUUUUUUCCCUUUUUUUCCCUUUUUUUCCCCCCGUUUUUUUCCCUUUUUCCCGUUUUUUCCUGGGUUUUUUUCCUGGGUUUUUUUCCCACUUUUUUCCCCAUUUUCCCCAUUUCUUUUCCCAGUUUUUUUUCCUUUUUUUUCCCUUUUUUUUCCCUUUUUUUCUCCGUUUUUUUCCCUUUUUCCCUUUUUUUUCCCUUUCCCCCCCCCCAUUUUUUUUCCCUUUUUCCCUUUUUUCUCCUUUUUUUUCCCCCGUUUUUUUUCCCACUUUUUUCCCAAUUUUUCCCUUUUUUUCCCCUGGUUUUUCCCCCUUUUUUCCCUUUUUUUUCCCUUUUUUUUCCCUUUUUUUUCCCUUUUUUUUUCCCUUUUUUUCCCUUUUUUUUCCCUUUUUUCCCCCCCAUUUUUUUUUCCUUUUUCCCUUUUUUCUCCCUUUUUU